RNAcentral lists this ribosomal RNA (561 nucleotides) under Fusarium sp. Sigrf14. Its description in RNAcentral is "eukaryotic LSU rRNA". The stretch from base 180 to 333 matches the Rfam family "5.8S ribosomal RNA". Lineage: Eukaryota; Fungi; Ascomycota; Sordariomycetes; Hypocreales; Nectriaceae. The record is from RNAcentral.
UUCCGUAGGGGUACCUGCGGAGGGAUCAUUACCGAGUUUACAACUCCCAAACCCCUGUGAACAUACCAAUUGUUGCCUCGGCGGAUCAGCCCGCUCCCGGUAAAACGGGACGGCCCGCCAGAGGACCCCUAAACUCUGUUUCUAUAUGUAACUUCUGAGUAAAACCAUAAAUAAAUCAAAACUUUCAACAACGGAUCUCUUGGUUCUGGCAUCGAUGAAGAACGCAGCAAAAUGCGAUAAGUAAUGUGAAUUGCAGAAUUCAGUGAAUCAUCGAAUCUUUGAACGCACAUUGCGCCCGCCAGUAUUCUGGCGGGCAUGCCUGUUCGAGCGUCAUUUCAACCCUCAAGCCCUCGGGUUUGGUGUUGGGGAUCGGCGAGCCCUUGCGGCAAGCCGGCCCCGAAAUCUAGUGGCGGUCUCGCUGCAGCUUCCAUUGCGUAGUAGUAAAACCCUCGCAACUGGUACGCGGCGCGGCCAAGCCGUUAAACCCCCAACUUCUGAAUGUUGACCUCGGAUCAGGUAGGAAUACCCGCUGAACUUAAGCAUAUCAAUAAGGCGGAGGAA